This 381-nucleotide ribosomal RNA is filed under the name uncultured eukaryote. RNAcentral's name for it is "partial 18S ribosomal RNA". It matches the Rfam family "Eukaryotic small subunit ribosomal RNA", at positions 592 to 976 of the family's 1831-position model. The record is from RNAcentral.
CAAUAGCGUAUAUUAAAGUUGUUGCGGUAAAAAAGCUCGUAGUUGGAUUUCUACCGAAGAUAGCCGGUCGGGUCUUCGACCUUGUAUCUGGUUUUGUCUUUGGUAUCCUCCUAGGGAACGUUUCUGCGCUUUAUUGCGUGGUGCGGUAUCUAUGACUUUUACUUUGAGGAAAUUAGAGUGUUCACGGCAGGCAAACGCCUUGAAUAUAUUAGCAUGGAAUAAUAACAUAGGAUCUUCGUCCUAUUUUGUUGGUUUCUAGGGCUAAGAUAAUGAUUAAUAGGGAUAAUUGGGGGCAUCUGUAUCAACGCGUCAGAGGUGGAAUUCUUGGAUUGCGUUGCGACAAACUACUGCGAAAGCAUUUGCCAAGGAUGUUUUCAUUGA